RNAcentral lists this ribosomal RNA (468 nucleotides) under uncultured bacterium. Its description in RNAcentral is "partial 16S ribosomal RNA". It matches the Rfam family "Bacterial small subunit ribosomal RNA", at positions 28 to 507 of the family's 1533-position model. The record is from RNAcentral.
GACGAACGCUGGCGGCGUGCUUAACACAUGCAAGUCGAACGGAAAGGCCCUGCUUUUGUGGGGUGCUCGAGUGGCGAACGGGUGAGUAACACGUGAGUAACCUGCCCUUGACUUUGGGAUAACUUCAGGAAACUGGGGCUAAUACCGGAUAGGAGCUCCUGCUGCAUGGUGGGGGUUGGAAAGUUUCGGCGGUUGGGGAUGGACUGGCGGCUUAUCAGCUUGUUGGUGGGGUAGUGGCUGACCAAGGCUUUGACGGGUAGCCGGCCUGAGAGGGUGACCGGCCACAUUGGGACUGAGAUACGGGCCAGACUCCUACGGGAGGCAGCAGUGGGGAAUAUUGCACAGUGGGCGGGAGCCUGAUGCAGCAACGCCGCGUGCGGGAUGACGGCCUUCGGGUUGUAAACCGCUUUCGCCUGUGACGAAGCGUGAGUGACGGUAAUGGGUAAAGAAGCACCGGCUAACUACGUG